UACGUAGGGCGCAAGCGUUUAUCCGGAAUUAUUGGGCGUAAAGAGCUCGUAGGCGGUUUGUCGCGUCGGCUGUGAAAACCUGAGGCUCAACCUCAGGCCUGCAGUCGAUACGGGCAGACUAGAGUCCGGCAGGGGAGACUGGAAGUUCCUGGUGUAGCGGUGAAAUGCGCAGAUAUCAGGAGGAACACCGGUGGCGAAGGCGGGUCUCUGGGCCGGAACUGACGCUGGAGGAGCGAAAAGCGUGGGGAGCGAACAGG
This 257-nucleotide ribosomal RNA is filed under the name uncultured bacterium. Its description in RNAcentral is "partial 16S ribosomal RNA". It matches the Rfam family "Bacterial small subunit ribosomal RNA", at positions 524 to 776 of the family's 1533-position model. The record is from RNAcentral.